CUACGGGGUGCACCAGUAGGGAAUCUUAGACAAUGGGGGAAACCCUGAUCUAGCCAUGCCGCGUGAGUGAUGAAGGCCUUAGGGUUGUAAAGCUCUUUCGCUGGGGAAGAUAAUGACGGUACCCAGUAAAGAAACCCCGGCUAACUCCGUGCCAGCAGCCGCGGUAAUACGGAGGGGGUUAGCGUUGUUCGGGAAUUACUGGGCGUAAAGCGCGCGUAGGCGGGCUAUUAAGUCAGGGGUGAAAUCCCGGGGCUCAACCCCGGAACUGCCUUUGAUACUGGUAGUCUUGAGUUCGAGAGAGGUGAGUGGAAUUCCGAGUGUAGAGGUGAAAUUCGUAGAUAUUCGGAGGAACAUCAGUGGCGAAGGCGACUCACUGGCUCGAUACUGACGCUGAGGUGCGAAAGUGUGGGGAGCAAACAGGAUUAGAUACCCUGGUAGUC
This 440-nucleotide ribosomal RNA is filed under the name uncultured bacterium. RNAcentral's name for it is "partial 16S ribosomal RNA". It matches the Rfam family "Bacterial small subunit ribosomal RNA", at positions 339 to 795 of the family's 1533-position model. The record is from RNAcentral.